This 625-nucleotide long non-coding RNA is filed under the name Equus caballus (horse). Its description in RNAcentral is "lncRNA (ENSECAG00000057307.1)". The record is from RNAcentral. Lineage: Eukaryota; Metazoa; Chordata; Mammalia; Perissodactyla; Equidae.
GUUAAAUCCAUCCUGUUGCCAUUUGUGUUUUAUUUGUAUCAUGUGUUCUUUGUUCCCAUUUUCCUCUUUUUCUGAUUUAUUUUGGAUUAAUUGAAUAUUUUAAUGAUUCCAUCAUAUUUCUUUUGUUGGCUCAUUACAUGUAACUCUUUGUUUUAUUAUUUUAGGAUAUAUAUUAGCCUUUUCUUUUUAAACAUCCACACUACAAUGUCAGCUCAACUAAGCAUUGUGCAACUGAACAGCAGAAUAGAGGCGAUUUUUAGAGGAACAUCAUUAUCUGUGUUGAUGAAAUCAUAACUUUGGCUUAAAAUUUUUAUUGUUGCACAGUAGUUAAGGUUUCUUGUGCUUAGGAACACUGGACAUCACUUCAGCACUAUACUUGGGGGCAUUUUAAAUAGAAAAAUCACAAACAGAAAGCAUACAGAGGUGAAAAAUAUGGCACUAAACAGACCACGAAAAGGACACGUUUACAUGGUGUGAGUUGAAACAAAAAGGCAAAUGGUCACCUUGAUCAACCUCAGCUGGGAACAUGCGCAUCAGGCACCAUCUUUUGAGCUGCUCUAUGAAGAGGCCAAUAUAUGAAGAAACUCACGGAGUCCUUUGGCCAACUGCCAGGAAGAAACUUGGC